CAAAGGUUGCCUCCCACAGGAGGGAGAGGCAGAAUAUUAUCAGAUGCGCAGGAAAUUUCCAUUGUUGACAUGGUAAUUGGCAACAAUGCAAAAAAAAAUGCGGGAAAUUCGGGACAGAGUGCUGGCAGACAAUAUCACUUUUGGGAAUGUGAACAUGGUCAGCACAACAACAAUUGCCAGAGUCCCAGAGAAACAUAAAAUAAGGAUGAAGCAGUUGUACACUGUACCCUGAGAAACGUCGAACGUGUGAAAGAACUCUGGUAUCAAUAUGUCCAGAGAGUAAUGGAGAUGGAAGCCAGGCAAACUGCACAUACAUUCAUCUUUGUGGAUGAAGUUGGAUUCAACCUGGCAAAAACACGCCGCAUGUGAAGAAAUGUGAUUAGACAGAGAGCAACCGUGGAUGUCCCAGGCCAGAGAGGAGCUAACAUUACAAUGUGUGCAGCACUGUCCAAUGAUAGUUUGCUGUUACACAAACCCCUCAUUGGUCCCUACAAUACAGAGAGGCUCAUUUCUUUUCUGGAUGAGCUGCAUAAUUGACUUGUGCCAGAGGAGGAGAGAGGGGCAAGAAACUCCCCUACCUUCGUUGUUGUGUGGGAUAAUGUGGCAUUCCACCAGUCUGCUGCAGUCACAGACUGGUUUGCUGCUCAUCCCAGGAUGUCAGUACUAUUUCUGCCUCCAUACUCCCCCUUCCUAAAUCCCAUAGAGGAGUUUUUCUCUGCGUGGAGGUGGAAGGUUUAUGAUCACUAUCCACAUGACCAGAUAUCCUUACUGGAUGCCAUGAAUGCGGGGUGUGGAGACACUUCACCUGAAGACUGCCAGGGUUGGAUUAGACAUUCCAGAAGAUACUUUCCAAGAUGCAUCGCCAGAGAAGACAUGAGAUGUGAUGUAGGAGAGAGGGAGAACUAAAACCCUCACAGUACUGUACAGUAUGAGUGAUUAUACUAUACAAGUUGAUGUCAGGAAUUUGUUUAUUUUUCACAAGUAAAUUACAAUAUGCAAAGAUAUAGAAAAAAUAAAGGCUAUUGAAGCAAAUUAC
Molecule: long non-coding RNA, 1036 nt
Organism: Salvelinus namaycush (lake trout)
Lineage: Eukaryota; Metazoa; Chordata; Actinopteri; Salmoniformes; Salmonidae
Exons: 2
Source: RefSeq, a predicted model, not a curated record